GCUUGAUGUGGUAGCAUGGGCCUAUAGGCUGAGAUGGAAGAUCUCUUGAGUUCAGGACUUCUGGGCUGCAAUGUGCUAUGCCGGUUGGGUAUCUGCCCUGAGUUUGGCAUCAAUACCAUCACCUCCCAGGAGCUGGGACCAUCAGGUUGCCUAAGGAGGGGUGAACCAGCCCAGGUUGGAAAUGGAGCAGGUCAAAACUCCUGUGCUAAUCGGUAGUGGGAUCUCGUCUGUGAAUAGCCACUGAACUCCAGCCUGGCCAAUAGAGUGAGACCCUGCCUCAG
Unclassified non-coding RNA from Heterocephalus glaber (naked mole-rat), 281 nucleotides. It matches the Rfam family "Metazoan signal recognition particle RNA". From Rfam's summary of the family: The signal recognition particle (SRP) is a universally conserved ribonucleoprotein. It is involved in the co-translational targeting of proteins to membranes. The eukaryotic SRP consists of a 300-nucleotide 7S RNA and six proteins: SRPs 72, 68, 54, 19, 14, and 9. The record is from Ensembl. Lineage: Eukaryota; Metazoa; Chordata; Mammalia; Rodentia; Bathyergidae.